This is a long non-coding RNA of Hemicordylus capensis (graceful crag lizard), 1194 nucleotides long. RefSeq lists it as uncharacterized. The record is from RefSeq and is a predicted model, not a curated record. The transcript is spliced from 3 exons. Lineage: Eukaryota; Metazoa; Chordata; Lepidosauria; Squamata; Cordylidae.
AAGCAGAAAGGGGUGUGGUGGGGUCAUCUCUCUGUAAGUUCACUUAUGGAGCAGUCUGCCUCAGGCCAGCGCCAAAACAGAGAUGGAAGCUCCAUCUGGCUAGCAAGCAGUGCAUUUCUGAAGAGAGAGAUGUCAGAGCUCAGGACCCUCUAGAAGGCCCAUCUUGUGGCUUGGAAGCUACAUCCCAGACCCGUGGGGUUGGCAGUGGUUGUGCUGUAGGGGUGAGAUGCACUCCAUGCCUGCUCAGAGGCACUGCUUUAUGACAACUGUGGGCAUUUCUAGGUGCAGGUUUAGUCUCUGAUUUUCACACUUCGUUCAUUCACUCUUGAAUGAAGGAAGUUCACAACUUUGUCAUUUGGGUGGUUCACAUGAGAGCAUCUUCCAGCUGUUGCUCAGCUGCAUUCUCUUUGAGCUCAAAUGGGUUGCAUUUGUUGAUGCUGAAAAAUCAACGUUUUCGCACACAGCUGUACAGCAGUGGAAUGAUAGCUUUGUGAACUAUUGCAAGCAUUACCGGUAGAAGGAGGAGUCUGUCAACUGCAUCCGAGAUGUUCUGCUAAUGUGCACUUCAAAUGCCCCCAAACAACUCUAUCUACUGUGGUGUGGAACUCUGGAUCUCCACACACGACAUGAUGUAGAGCGUUGGCACUGCAAUCAAGUGUCUGAAAGUGCCCUUUGUGGCGAGGAUGGAAACACUGGUUGCUCGUGUUUCCAAGCAGAAUUCAAAGUGCUGGUGAUGCUUACCUUUAAAGCCCACUUCAGAUAUGGGUACCUGUCUUCUCCCUGAUGAACUGGCCCAAGUGUGAAGGUCAUCUUCUCUGGGUGGCCCUGCCUAUAGCUGUAGCGACUGGAGAAAGAAUCUUCUCAGCUGUGACCUCCCAGGAUGGCUCACUUAGCACAGAGUCUCAUGCAUUUCUGGCACAGCAGGAGCCCUGGCCACUUACCCAGGCCUUUAAACAAUCUUCACUGGUGCCGAUAAUUCUGCUGAAUCAGAUGCGACUGAAUGAUCGAUUGCUUCCAAUGCAGACACCAAGCAGAACUACCUGCCUUAUUCUGCUGUGUGUCUACCCACUGCAUCUCUGCACGAGUCCUGUGCAUGGCUUAGCUCUUCUAAAGUCGUCCAAGACCCUGAUGUGCAUACAAGAUCCACCUCACCUGGAGUGCAGGUGGCUGACUCCAUCCAUGGAUCUGCAUCCG